This 303-nucleotide ribosomal RNA is filed under the name uncultured bacterium. Its description in RNAcentral is "partial 16S ribosomal RNA". It matches the Rfam family "Bacterial small subunit ribosomal RNA", at positions 507 to 807 of the family's 1533-position model. The record is from RNAcentral.
AGCAGCAGCCGCGGUAAUACGUAGGGUGCAAGCGUUAAUCGGAAUUACUGGGCGUAAAGCGUACGCAGGCGGUUAUAUAAGUCAGAUGUGAAAUCCCCGGGCUCAACCUGGGAACUGCAUUUGAGACUGUAUGGCUAGAGUGUGUCAGAGGGGGGUAGAAUUCCACGCGUAGCAGUGAAAUGCGUAGGGAUGUGGAGGAAUACCGAUGGCGAAGGCAGCCCCCUGGGCCAAUACUGACGCUCAUGCACGAAAGCGUGGGGAGCAAACAGGAUUAGAUACCCCUGUAGUCCCUGUCUCUUAUAC